Molecule: long non-coding RNA, 1437 nt
Organism: Lates calcarifer (barramundi perch)
Lineage: Eukaryota; Metazoa; Chordata; Actinopteri; Centropomidae
Exons: 2
Source: RefSeq, a predicted model, not a curated record
UAUAUAUAUAUAUAUAUAUCAGUGUAUGUACAAUAUAUUUUGAUUCAAGGGAAGAAGGAGUAUUCUUUGCUUUCGAAAAAGGAAUGUAAGAUGGCUAUUUGUGGAAUUAUCUGUGUGACUAAACGUUUCAUGUUUUAUUCCUCUAUGUAAUGACCAGAUUUGGAGUCCAGACUGAAUGCCACUGAUGUCCAGGCAGAGACUCAGAGAGCCCUGGUGGCACAAAUACAAAUUGAAAUUAAAGGUACAUUAACAAAUUAUUAUGUUAGUGCUAUCACCUUGUGAAUAAAUGAUUGAACAGUUGGAAGAUGACAGGCUGAAGAAUGCUGAUAAGAUACUAUGCUGUUUUUAAGAUGAAUAAUAUUUAAUUUUCAUCAUUUUGACUGUCAGAGUUCGAGUCCAGACUGGAGUCCAGCGAGAGUCUUGAGAAGGAGCUAAAUGACCGACUUAAAGACGCUGAGACAAAGGUGGAGGCGCUGAAAACUGCAGAUCAAGAACUUGAGGCCAGACUGAAUGCCAGUGAUUUGGAGGGCCAAAAGACACAUGUGGAACAGCUGCAGAAGGAAAGCAAAGGUAAUACAACAAACAGGUCAAUUAUUAAUGCCUCAUAAAGUAGAUUUCCUCUCACCUCAGCUCACCUAAUCUCACCUCAUGAUUCAUAUUUGGCUGAAUGGAGAACCAUGCAGUAUUCAUUUAUACAUUUUUAACAAACAGAGUUGAACAUCAGACUGACAGAGCUGGGGAAUAAGUUUGGAGAGGUGGACACAGAUGUGAAGGCACUGCAGACCGCUGAUCAAGGUAAAUAAAUUGUAUUUUUACUGCAUAACUCUGUCCAAAUUAUGUUUUGAAGUGUAAGACCAGAUGUUGAUCUUGAUAGAAUCAUUUGUGUGAUUGAUGAUAUCACAUUUCAUUCCUCUAUGUAAUGAGCAGAACUUGAGGCCAGACUGAACACCACCGACGUCCAGGCCGAGACACAAAGAGCCCUGGUGGUACAACUACAGACUGAAAUUAAAGGUAUGUUGACAGAUGUAGAGAUUAUUGUAUUAGUGCAGUGAUAAGUGAUCUAUGAGGUUGCUGAAAUCAAGAUUUACUUGGUGCUCUUGUUAUGACUGUCAGCAUUUGAGUCCAGACUGGAGACCAGUGAGAGUCUAGAGAAGGAGUUGGCUGCUCGGCUGGGAAACACAGAGACAGAGGUGGAGGCCCUGAAGACUGUCGACCAAGGUAAACAGAGAAAGAAAUGCUUCUUUAGUUGCCAUAUGUAGUAUAAGAUAUUCAUAUGUAGACUAUUUGCAGGGUUAACUUGUCUGUCCCUGAUGGAAAUUUCAAUGAAUUUUCCAUGACCUUUACAUGAUUCAGCUGGAGCAUUUUGCACUACAGAUUUCAUCUCUUUAUGGUUUGUUGAUAUUAUUUGUCUCAAAGGGGAUGAAAAGUUUCCACUCU